UCUAAGUCAGAGUUAGAAAAAUAUCUUGCAGAAGAUAUUGAAAUUGGAAGACAAGAUUUUAAAAUAUUGCUUUGGUGGGAAGUUAACUCACCUAGAUUCCCCAUCCUUUCUGAGAUGGCUCGAGAUGUGUUAGCUAUUCCUAUUUCAAGUGUGGCAUCCGAAUGUGCUUUUAGUACUGGAGGGCGUGUUCUUGAUUCGUUUAGGAGUUCAUUAACUCCUAAAUUGGUACAAGCUCUAGUGUGCCUUCAAGAUUGGAUUCGGAGUGAACCAACUCCCGUAAGUAUUGAGCAAGAUUUAGAUUCCCUCGAGCAACUUGAAAAAGAUAUGGCCAAUCUUGGAAAAGAACCUUCUGCUGAUGACAUGUAGAAGUGUAGAUUGUUAAGACAUGAAACUUUGGUUUAACCAUGCCUCAACUUUGUGGUCCUAAAGCUCGAUCACCUGUUUGGGAUCACUAUGGAAAGCUUGAAGAAAAUGAUGAUGGAUGGUGCACCAUGCAGUGCAUUAAUUGUGGUUUUUGUUUUGUUGACUUGACUAGAACUAUUAGGACUAUGUUUGGAUUAAUUUUCAGGUUCUUUGGCAGUUUAACUGUUGUUUUUGGUUUUCUGAAAUUCUGAUGGUGCUAGACAAAUUAUUGCUAACUACAACACCACUUGCAUUAGCUACUUUCAGUUUUGAAGUUAUUAAUAUGGAAUGGUAACUUAUAUUUUAUCUGGUGCUAAUAUGUUUUCAAAUGUUGAUGGCAGCCUAGCCUUAUUAGACUGUAUACUUGUGCAUUGCUAGAUUUUUGGUGUUGUGGUGCUGCAUUUUUAUGAGAUUAAAUGGAAGGAGAAAUUUACUACAUGUUUCCUUUUAGAAUUUCAUAAGCUUGUUUAUUCAUGGAGUUGAAGAGAACUGGAAAGCAGAGUAGAAAUAUUCAUACAAUUACUGAGAAGCAAAUGUCAUAGUAAAGAAGGAUGCUCCAGGACUGCCUGAAGGUGUUUUGAAUAUCAUAUCUGGUUUUGGUUCCAUAGCUGGUGCUGCUCUCUGUAGUCAUAUGGAUGUGGAUAAGGUACACUUUUUAGUUUUUUUUUUUUCAUUCCUUUCUGUGUGAAGAUCUCAAAUUCGUGACUUUUCAGCUUUUACUUCUUCAUAUGGUGGAAAUCGUUUUGGUUUGAAAGAUCCCUCAAUUUGAUAUUAUUAGUUUUUCAUUCCUUUCUGUCUCAUUGGCUGAUAUGACUGAAGAUAUCAAUUUGAGAUAUAGCAUGACUGUCGCCUUUUUCUUUUAAUUAGAAUCCAAUAAGCUUUGUUUCAUUGAUGUAAAUUGUAGAUCCAAAUAUGAUAUUAGUUUGUUGAUGCCAGCUUGUAGUGUGUUUA
Lycium barbarum (goji berry) is the source of this 1353-nucleotide long non-coding RNA. RefSeq lists it as uncharacterized. NCBI's taxonomy places the organism in Eukaryota, Viridiplantae, Streptophyta, Magnoliopsida, Solanales, Solanaceae. The transcript is spliced from 3 exons. The record is from RefSeq and is a predicted model, not a curated record.